RNAcentral lists this ribosomal RNA (500 nucleotides) under uncultured Glomus. RNAcentral describes it as "SSU rRNA". It matches the Rfam family "Eukaryotic small subunit ribosomal RNA", at positions 569 to 1073 of the family's 1831-position model. The record is from RNAcentral. Lineage: Eukaryota; Fungi; Glomeromycota; Glomeromycetes; Glomerales; Glomeraceae.
AGCAGCCGCGGUAAUUCCAGCUCCAAUAGCGUAUAUUAAAGUUGUUGCAGUUAAAAAGCUCGUAGUUGAAUUUCGGGAUCAUCAGGUUGGUCGUGCCUCCGGUAUGUACUUGCUUCGGUGGUCCCUCCUUCUUGAAGAACCGUAAUGGCAUUAAUUUGUUGUUGCGGGGAAACAGGACUGUUACUUUGAAAAAAUUAGAGUGUUUAAAGCAGGCAAUCGCUUGAAUACAUUAGCAUGGAAUAAUGAAAUAGGACGUUCGAUCCUAUUUUGUUGGUUUCUGGGAUUGACGUAAUGAUUAAUAGGGAUAGUUGGGGGCAUUAGUAUUCAAUUGUCAGAGGUGAAAUUCUUGGAUUUAUUGAAGACUAACUACUGCGAAAGCAUUUGCCAAGGAUGUUUUCAUUAAUCAAGAACGAAAGUUAGGGGAUCGAAGACGAUCAGAUACCGUCGUAGUCUUAACCAUAAACUAUGCCGACUAGGGAUCGGAUGAUGUUAAUUUUUAA